This is a long non-coding RNA of Panonychus citri (citrus red mite), 1799 nucleotides long. RefSeq lists it as uncharacterized. Lineage: Eukaryota; Metazoa; Arthropoda; Arachnida; Trombidiformes; Tetranychidae. The transcript has 3 exons. The record is from RefSeq and is a predicted model, not a curated record.
AUAGAUGAGAGAAAGAGAAAGAGAAAGAGAAAGAGAGAAAGAGAGAGAGAUUGUGACAAAUUAAUUGUGGAAAGAAAGAGAGAAAAAUUAACCAGAAGACAGAGAAUUUUAUCUUCAUUGCUUAAGGACGAUCAUCAGAAUAAGAAGACAAGAUGAGGGAUUAAAAGAGAGGGAAAGAAAUUAAAAACACGAGGGAUUAACCACUGUCGACAAGAGAGAGAGAGAGAGAAAGGUUGGUUCCACUUUCUCAAUUUUUCUUCAUUAAAGAAAGAAAAGAAAGACGAUCAGGGAAAGAGAUCCACUUGUCUUACCAGUCCCGCCUUUCUCUCUGUCUUUCUCUGUCUUUUUCUCUCUUUCUUUCUAUGGAAAUUUAAGAUAUUUGUUUAUAUUCUCGUUAAAUUGAAUUGAUCCACCGCGAGCCCCAUAUAUAAAUAAGGACACUAAUUGUGUGAUUAGUCAAAUCAAUCAUCAUCCAAGACAAUCAGAGAAUAUUUUAAAUUCUAUCAAUCAUCAACCAUAAAAAUUAGAUUAAUCACCUUUACCUAAAGCUAAUAUUGUUCUUUCUCUUGUUUACUUUCUAACAGUUAAUUUCUAUUUUGGUUUGUUGUUUAUAAUCUCUUUCAACUCUGUCAACUGUCAACUUGUCGUGUUUAUCUUGAUGUUAUUCAUGUUCUACUUAUGUUCAUGUAUCAGUCUUUCCAUGGUAAUCAAUCGAUUAACCUGAUCAGUUCAAUUGGAAGUCGACGAGCAAAUUCUGGUAACGUUUUGGAACUUCGAGUGUUAACCAAAAUUCAUUUCACACCCUGAGGAGAAAAGGAACAAGAUAAUCAUCAUCAUCAUCGUCUUAAAAGAAGAAUUGUUUCUAAUUACAGGUAAUACUGAAGGUGGAAGUAUGGAAGUUUAUUGAUUAACUUUGGCAAAGUACAAUCUAAAUCGAGUUGAUUAAAUUUCACAGUUGAACUCUCAUAAUCCUCAAUAAUCACUCACUUGGUCAUCACUCACCUUGAAUACAAACACAACAAUUACCUCAAAUAACAAAGAGAAAUUAAUAUAAAUUAUGCCUUUAGCUCAGAGUCAAGUUUUAAUACUAUCUGAUCUUCAUCACAGUCGAGAACCAGUUAUUGAGAGAUCACAAUGUCACAAAUUGGACGCAAACCCAAAGACAAUAGCGAUUUCAUCAGUAUCCAACUUGGAAUCAACCCUGAAGAUUAAAAUAUCACAAACAAAAACAACAACCAAAUUAUCACCAGCUGAUCAUCAAUCAAAAUUAGAAAUCACUAAUCCAUGGGGACCCAUGUUUAAGGAUUAUGAGGCAUUUAUCGAUGCUCAUAUAUGUUAAAUUCAGUCCGAGUUUAAGGCCUGGAAUUUUUUUCCAAUCUUCUUGUUUACAAAAGUACAUUAAACUAUCUCUUCUCUCCCUCUCUCUUUCUUGUUGAGUUUUUUGUCCUUUGUCUUGGUGAAAAGGAUAAUGAAGAGAGAGAGAGAGAGAAAGAGGAUCACCAUCAUCACCAUCAUCAUUAUCAUCAUCAUCAUCAUGGUAAUUAACACCAGUUAGCAUGGAGAAAAGACUCGAAAAAAAGUUCUGUUCUGCAACAUCGCUAAUUACAAUCUACGGAACAGUGGUAAUAAUGAUUAACUCACAGUAAACAGAAUCAAGAAGAUUGUUAAAGUUUCCAAAAGUGUCUGGUUAAUUAACAUGAAUGAAACUUGAUUUACCGGUUAGAAAUCAUCUAAUUAAAAUCUAUCUGUACCUAUUUCUGUAUUAAAGAAAGAUAAUAAUUAAAAGAAUUACAAUUAAA